This 253-nucleotide ribosomal RNA is filed under the name uncultured bacterium. Its description in RNAcentral is "partial 16S ribosomal RNA". It matches the Rfam family "Bacterial small subunit ribosomal RNA", at positions 524 to 776 of the family's 1533-position model. The record is from RNAcentral.
UACAGAGGUCCCGAGCGUUGCUCGGAUUCAUUGGGCGUAAAGGGUGCGUAGGUGGCGCUGUAAGUGGGGUGUGAAAUCCCGGGGCUUAACUCCGGAACUGCAUUCCAUACUGCGGUGCUUGAGGACUGGAGAGGAGACUGGAAUUUACGGUGUAGCAGUGAAAUGCGUAGAGAUCGUAAGGAAGACCAGUGGCGAAGGCGGGUCUCUGGACAGUUCCUGACACUGAGGCACGAAGGCCAGGGGAGCAAACGGG